This 253-nucleotide ribosomal RNA is filed under the name uncultured bacterium. RNAcentral describes it as "partial 16S ribosomal RNA". It matches the Rfam family "Bacterial small subunit ribosomal RNA", at positions 524 to 776 of the family's 1533-position model. The record is from RNAcentral.
UACGUAGGGGGCUAGCGUUGUCCGGAAUCAUUGGGCGUAAAGAGCGUGUAGGCGGUCCGGUAAGUCCGCUGUGAAAGUCGGGGGCUCAACCCUCGAAUGCCGGUGGAUACUGUCGGGCUAGAGUGCGGAAGAGGCGAGUGGAAUUCCUGGUGUAGCGGUGAAAUGCGCAGAUAUCAGGAGGAACACCUAUUGCGAAGGCAGCUCGCUGGGACGUUACUGACGCUGAGACGCGGAAGCGUGGGGAGCAAACAGG